UACGGAGGGGGCUAGCGUUGUUCGGAAUUACUGGGCGUAAAGCGCACGUAGGUGGAUUGCUAAGUCAGGGGUGAAAUCCCGAGGCUCAACCUCGGAACUGCCUUUGAUACUGGCAAUCUCGAGUCCGGGAGAGGUGAGUGGAAUUCCUAGUGUAGGGGUGAAAUUCGUAGAUAUUAGGAAGAACACCAGUGGCGAAGGCGGCUCACUGGUCCGGCACUGACGCUGAGGUGCGAAAACGUGGGGAGCAAACAGG
This 253-nucleotide ribosomal RNA is filed under the name uncultured bacterium. RNAcentral's name for it is "partial 16S ribosomal RNA". It matches the Rfam family "Bacterial small subunit ribosomal RNA", at positions 524 to 776 of the family's 1533-position model. The record is from RNAcentral.